Long non-coding RNA from Arachis duranensis, 1196 nucleotides. RefSeq lists it as uncharacterized. NCBI's taxonomy places the organism in Eukaryota, Viridiplantae, Streptophyta, Magnoliopsida, Fabales, Fabaceae. The record is from RefSeq and is a predicted model, not a curated record. The transcript has 3 exons.
GAGAAGUGAAAAUGCUCUGGGAUUUGAACUGGGUGAAAGAUGUGUAAGUCUAGUUCAACCACACCAAAAUUUAGGAGAAUCCAACCAAAGAUGGAUUUUAUAUGAUUUUUCUAAAUUUGUUACUGCUUGUUGUUUUUCUAAAGUGUACUAAAUCAGUAGCCGAAUGAAGAGAAGGCUGAAUGGAUUAUAUAUGUCACAGAUGUUGGGCAGCAGCAACACUUUGAUAUGGUAUUCAAGUGCUGAUCAACUCUUGCCAUUGCUGCUGAGAAAAGAAGGCCGCCAAGUCCAGAGACGCCAACUUCGAGGUGAAAGUCGCUUUCUAAACUGUCCUUUAGAAACAUGAUGGUAGGUGUUAAUUUUCAUGUCUUGCAUGAUUGAUUUCUCUAAUACUAGUUUAGUUUAUUACUUAUUCCUUCUAUUUGUUUGCAGUUAGAUACAUUGAUUUCUCUAAACUAGUUUGGUUUUUGUGUUUUCUUGAUUCGGUUAAACAAUGACAAAUGGCACAGCAUUUGGAGCUUCUCAAGACAAUAAACUGAAAUGUCUGUUAUUAGUAGCUUAUUAUGUAAUCAAAUAAUAAACUGACAAAAGGCAGAGGACUUUUAAUUUCCACUAACAAACAUUUGAUUCAAUUGCUUAAUAACAAACUAAAACCAAGUCUAGUUUAAAACCAUGUUAAAUUUACUUAAGAAGAACUUGACAGUGAAGCUUAUAUUUCUUAGGUAGCAAAUAAAUGAAUUCCAUACGUACAAUAUUUCAAUCUUAGUUUUAGGAAAUAAUUAAUUUUAGUUCUUUGUUAAUAAUUUCUUGUUUUGGGAUGUUAUGCAUCAGUGCUAUUAGAUGAUACAUCAACUUUUACCGGAGAAAUGACAGCAGGUCCUAAUGCUAAUUCUAUUAGAGGUUUUGAAGUCAUAGAUACCAUAAAAUCCCAAGUAGAGAGCUUGUGCCCUGGUGUUGUGUUUUUGUGCUGAUAUUCUUGCUGUUGCCGCUAGAGAUUUUGUUGUUGCUAUUCUUGCCAAGUGCGAAGUUCCUUAGCCCUGGUGUCAGCGUCAAAGAUUGCUAAAAAGGCUGGAUGUUGUUUAGGAGUUAGAUUAGAUUUUUUUUAGUAUAAAGUUGUUAAUUCUUUUAAAUGUUUAUUUUGGAAGUUGAAUUUAGUUUUUCUUAAUUGUUUCAUUCAUAUCUUAUUAUGUACAUAAUUC